This 299-nucleotide long non-coding RNA is filed under the name Elaeis guineensis (African oil palm). Its description in RNAcentral is "long non-coding RNA (EGUI_LNC037746)". Lineage: Eukaryota; Viridiplantae; Streptophyta; Magnoliopsida; Arecales; Arecaceae. The record is from RNAcentral.
AAUGGUUGAGCCUGAGUCAUUGAACUGAUUAGAUCACUAAGUGACUCGAGUUGACCCAUAUCGUUAAGAUUAAUCAGUAUGAUUGAUUUAGGUGCCUUGGAUCGACUUAUCUCUAGUCCUUCUCAUGACUUGGUGAAGUCAGUGGGAGGAUUUACGACAUGCCAGUUGGACCUGCUACUCACUAAUCCUUUUCAUGACUUGAUGAAGUCAGUGGAAGGAUUUAUGAUUUGUAGAUCGAUUGAUAUCUUAUUAAAUAAAUUAAUCAAAUCUUCUAAAUUAUUAGAUCCAUAAAAUGAGCU